This 88-nucleotide ribosomal RNA is filed under the name Burkholderia cenocepacia. RNAcentral's name for it is "partial 16S ribosomal RNA". It matches the Rfam family "Bacterial small subunit ribosomal RNA", at positions 1 to 84 of the family's 1533-position model. The record is from RNAcentral. Lineage: Bacteria; Pseudomonadati; Pseudomonadota; Betaproteobacteria; Burkholderiales; Burkholderiaceae.
UUGAACUGAAGAGUUUGAUCCUGGCUCAGAUUGAACGCUGGCGGCAUGCCUUACACAUGCAAGUCGAACGGCAGCACGGGUGCUUGCA